GUGAGGAAUAUUGCGCAAUGGACGAAAGUCUGACGCAGCCAUGCCGCGUGAAGGAUUGACGGCCCUAUGGGUUGUAAACUUCUUUUGUAUAGGAAUAAACCCUCGUUCGUGAACGAGGCUGAAGGUACUAUAAGAAUAAGCACCGGCUAACUCCGUGCCAGCAGCCGCGGUAAUACGGAGGGUGCAAGCGUUAUCCGGAAUUAUUGGGUUUAAAGGGUCCGUAGGCGGAUCGUUAAGUCAGUGGUGAAAUCCUACCGCUCAACGGUAGAACUGCCAUUGAUACUGGCGAUCUUGAGUAUGUAUGAAGUUGGCGGAAUGUGUGGUGUAGCGGUGAAAUGCUUAGAUAUCACACAGAACACCGAUUGCGAAGGAAGCUGACUAAUACACAACUGACGCUGAGGGACGAAAGUGUGGGGAUCAAACAGGAUUAGAUACCCCGGUAGUCC
Molecule: ribosomal RNA, 446 nt
Filed under: uncultured bacterium
Lineage: Bacteria
Description: partial 16S ribosomal RNA
Rfam family: Bacterial small subunit ribosomal RNA
Source: RNAcentral